This 76-nucleotide transfer RNA is filed under the name Chloroflexota bacterium. Its description in RNAcentral is "tRNA-Asp". It matches the Rfam family "tRNA". From Rfam's summary of the family: Transfer RNA (tRNA) molecules are approximately 80 nucleotides in length. Lineage: Bacteria; Bacillati; Chloroflexota. The record is from RNAcentral.
GAAGGUUGUAGCUCAGUAGGUAGAGCAGAAUACUAUCAGUAUUUGUGCGUUAGUUCGAUUCUAACCACCUUCACCA